AGAAUAGUGUAAGAACACUGCUGCCCUUCUGUUACGAUUCACUUGGUUCAGUUUCCGUCGCAGUACGUAAGUCUGUUCGGUUAUGAAACAUGGCGGAGUUGAAGACAAUAACACCGCCAGGAAAUCUGCCAGCCCGAAAUAAGGUCAGCCAGUCAGAUGAAAGGAUUGCCGCUGAGAACGAAAAGGAUGAAAACGGCGAGGAAGCGACGUGCAGUAAAGUUAUGAGGACCAUGGCGCUAGUAUGUGUAUGGAUAGCAAUGGGAACAUAUAUGGAAAUAAAUGGUCCAACAUUGAAAGACUUAGUUCUAAGAACCGGAAGUAGCUACGAGGAUAUCACGAGUGCUGUAUCCGGUCGAAGUGUUGGCAAAUUUGUUGGUGUAGUGAUUGGGGGACUGCUAACUGACCGGUUCGGACGUUACUGUGACCUCUUCCUUGCUCUAUCGCUUACGGUAGCUGCGACAGCAGUGGCCAUUGUGCCGUAGAUUAACCAAACCGAGGUUCUAUGGGUCUUCUAUUUCCUGCUUGGCAUCACGAUCGGGACCAUUGACAUUGCUAGACAGAGAAUAGUGUUAGUCAGUUGGAAGGAACAGGCAGCCUCUCCGAUACACAUUGUUCACCUUGGUUACGGCGUGGGCGGAUUUAUCGCUCCUCUUAUGGCUAAUCCAUUCCUUGUUAACACCGAGACCGUUGGACCUAAUGUAACCAACUCAUCUGUUUCAAACAUCUCCGUGAUGCUGAUGUCUACUAUCUCCAUUCCUACUACGACCACAACAGUUAUUAUCUCCCCUUCCACAAUAGAAUAUGCGUACGGUAGUGUUGCUGGUCUGACCAUCGUGAUGGCUGGUGUUCUUUACAUGAAUCAAUGUAAAACAUCUCCACGUUUCAAACACAAGAAAGGCAAAACGGAAAACAGCGAACAAAAACUUACGAGAACUAGAAAAUGGCGGGAGAUGCUAAACCCUGCAUCCUGUGCUGAGGGCAGCUUCUGUUUCGGCUCCCUGAUUCUAGUAACAUUGUUUCUGAAAUAUUUCGUCUACACUGCUGUUGACAGGGUGUUUUCGACCUUUAUCAGGUCGUAUUCCAUCGAUCAACUUCAUUUCAGCAAUGAUGACGCCAGCUAC
Mizuhopecten yessoensis (Yesso scallop) is the source of this 1121-nucleotide RNA transcript. It is a transcript of the gene named sodium-dependent glucose transporter 1-like, with no coding region annotated. The transcript is spliced from 5 exons. NCBI's taxonomy places the organism in Eukaryota, Metazoa, Mollusca, Bivalvia, Pectinida, Pectinidae. The record is from RefSeq and is a predicted model, not a curated record.